CAUAUAAAUAGCUUAAGUUGGUUAAUUAAAGCAUUGAGUUUUUACCUCAAAGAUGACGUAAAGUCUUUUAUGA
Molecule: transfer RNA, 73 nt
Filed under: Haematopinus tuberculatus
Lineage: Eukaryota; Metazoa; Arthropoda; Insecta; Psocodea; Haematopinidae
Description: tRNA-Lys
Source: RNAcentral